AUAGCGUAUAUUAAAGUUGUUGAGGUUAAAAAGCUCGUAGUUGAACCUUGGGCCUAGCCGGCCGGUCCGCCUCACCGCGUGCACUGGCUCGGCUGGGCCUUUCCUUCUGGAGAACCGCAUGCCCUUCACUGGGUGUGCUGGGGAACCAGGACUUUUACUCUGAACAAAUUAGAUCGCUUAAAGAAGGCCUAUGCUCGAAUACAUUAGCAUGGAAUAAUAAAAUAGGACGUGUGGUUCUUUUUUGUUGGUUUCUAGAGCCGCCGUAAUGAUUAAUAGGGACAGUCGGGGGCAUCAGUAUUCAAUUGUCAGAGGUGAAAUUCUUGGAUUUAUUGAAGACUAACUACUG
This 346-nucleotide ribosomal RNA is filed under the name Chaetomium globosum. RNAcentral's name for it is "SSU rRNA". It matches the Rfam family "Eukaryotic small subunit ribosomal RNA", at positions 594 to 945 of the family's 1831-position model. Lineage: Eukaryota; Fungi; Ascomycota; Sordariomycetes; Sordariales; Chaetomiaceae. The record is from RNAcentral.